GCCUCCCCCCCCGGGCGCCGCCCCCCUCGCCGCCGCCCCCCCGCUCUCGGGGGGCAGGGCCCCCCGCCCCUGCCACACCGACUGGGUGUAGAAGUCCACCGUGUGCGCGCUGGAAAUGCGCAGGGCGCCCCUCAGGAAGCCCAGCAAGUCCUGCAACUUGCCGUGCAGUGUGGGCAGGUCCGGGGUCCUGGGGAGAGAGCAAAGCGCUGCCAUGACGCUCGCUCGCCCUCCAGGGCUGCAGGUGGCGCCAACAUGGCCGCGCGGCACCUCUCUUCCUGAAGCCGGACAGGCGGAAGCAGACGAGCUCCGAGAGUGCGCUACAUGGGUGGUUGGUUGCUUCGGCCUGGUGACGUAUUAUGUCAGCGUCGGCCGUAGUUCUCCCGACCCUAGUGGGGCAAGAUGGCGCCGGUGAUGCCGUCUUCGAAGUGGCGGACCGGAGGACGCCUCAGGUCGCAUCCAAGUACCAAAGUCGGAAACGCAGGCCCUGGCGGCCUAGCCACCAGCAAGCCUUCCCCGGAAGCGUUUGAGAGGGACAAGGUUUUGCAUUUUGGAGGAAACUGAAGAUCUAGCAAGAUUACAAGAAAUUGCUAUGGAAGGUAAAGAAGGAACCAAUGUCCCAGGAAUCCCAGUUCAUCGAUUAUUACCCAGACCAUCUGAAACACCUCUAUUUAGCUGAAGAAGAAAGACUCAAGAAACAGCGGAGAAAGGUUGGUCUGCCUCCCUCAGAAGAACAAGUUGACCAGCCUGUGCCUGAAGAAGAGUGUAACACUGAACAGACUUUGUGUGAAGAACAGUCUAGUGAUCAUCAGUCUCAGCCAGAGGAGCUGUGUACACCAAAUUCUGUCACUAUUCCAAAAAAAAAGAAAACUUCAAACCAAAAGGCACAAGAAGAGUAUGAAUGGAUACAAGCAAAGCGUGGUGCUAAGAAAUUUGAAUUUGAAAUGAGAAAGUGAGAACGAGAAGAGGCUCAGAGGCUCUACAAGAAGAAGAAGAAGAUGGAAGCUUUCAAAGUCCUGAGCAAAAAGACUAAAAAGGGCCAGCCAAACCUGAAUCUGCAGAUAGAAUAUCUUCUCCAGAAGAUACAAGAAACCAGUUAAACUAGACAUUAAAUGCCUAUGGACUGGUGGACUGGUGCAUCCAUUUGUGUGUUGGGAGCGCCAGUGAAAUAAAUUUGCUGACGUCAAUGGAUUGGUGAAUUACUUUUUUGUUUUUGUAAUAAAAAAAAAAAUGCUAUAUGUAUUUUUUUCCACAAAGAAUGACUUAACCUGAAAGAACUUUAAAAACUUUCCAUGGAAGUUGUAUGAAAUAAAAACUGUUUUGAAAUAGGAGGCCUGAGCUCACAGGUGAAGCAUUUCAGUGAUGGGAACACGUUUCAGUGCAACAAGCAGCCACAGCACUGGGGCUUGCUUACUGGGAAUUAGGUCCUUGCGUUUCAGUGCAACAAGCAGCCAUAGCACUGGGGGCUUGCUUGCUUACUGGGAACUGGUCCUUGUGUUUCAGUGCAGCAAGCAGCCACAGCACUGGGGCUUGCUUACUGGGAAUUAGGUCCUUGCACUUGUUUGGCAGUUGUAUUACCACUAAAGUACAUUGUAUCCCUGGGAGUUUUGUGAUAGGGUUUCCGUGCUGCUUCCAAGUCUCAUGCUGGUCUCAAACUUGUGAUCAUCUUACCUCUGCCACCAGGGCACGACCGUGCCUAAUAGAUUGUAUAGUGUUUAAAUUAAAUUCAUUUUAUUGAUAAAGGAAAGAAUGACUCUCCUUGGAGUUUUUAUUUAUCAAUUUUUAGUACAGGAAAGUGGAUUUUCUAGGCUACCUGAAAGUAGGAUACCUGGGCACUAAGUUUGCAACCCCAUAAUAAACCUAAUAAGUAUUAUUUAUGAAUUGAAUUUCAUAGAAACAUUUUGUUAGAUGAAAUUACUUUUGAUAUCUAAAUGAUGGGAGAAGCCCAGUAUUUUCUCAUUGUUAAGCUCCCCACAACCUUGGGAGGGACCCUUUACUUUGAAGAGUAUUCUCAGCACUUCAUAUUGUUGGUACCUUUUAGCUGAGAAACUUUCUGCCUUCAGUUGCAACAGAACAAGAAAGCAUUGACAUUGUAAGCAAAAAAGAUUGCACAAUAAUGAUUCUAAAACAUUCUAACAUUGUGUUAACUUUUUAGAGAAGCUUUGCCUGCUGCAGCCUUCCCCCGGGUUAAAAGUGCAAUGAUGGCUACUUAGAAAAUACUAAACUUACUCUUUGCAUAGAAGAAUAAUGCUUAGAAGUUUGUGAUACCAAGAUGCUUACGGGUGUGCUUUACGGACAAGUUUGUAAUACCAAGAUGCUAUUGCACUUAAACAGCCCAGAAAGCCAAAAUCUGAUGAAGGAAGUGUGCACAGUGAACAAUUUCACUGAUUUCCUUUCCUCACAUCUGUAUUCUAGAUUCUUCAUCCUGACAACACAUGGAGAACUGGUCCUUUUAAGUGCAUUGUACAACACUGUUAAGGAGAGGUCUACCUUGAGGGCUUGUUUUGUUGUAGUUCUGUUGUUUGCUUGCUUUUGUUUGCAUCCAAGGAUGUUGUAGGGCAGAAAGUAGUUAACACCGUGUUCAAAACAAAAACUUUCAGACUUCAGUGUGGUAUAAAAAUCACACAGCUCAUCUGAAAGCUCUACCCUCAUGUUGUUGGUUGUUUUUACUGUUAGCUGUUUUUUUUUUGGGGGGGGGGCGCUACCUAGCUCCCAAAUAAGUCAUACAGAGGCUUAUUAUUUCUUAUUGAAGAGACCAGCUGCCCCUUUUGGCAGCCAUGACAGUAACACAUGCUUGCCAUGACCUUGCCUUGGUCACUAAGAGGUCAGAUGCCUGCCUUGUGGCAAGGAACCAAUCAGAAGUUAGCUGGUGGGGCUAUGCUUUAUGGCUCUGGGUGUGCUUUACGGACAAGUGCACAGCAAUGAUGUGCAGAGCAUAGCAACCACCCUGGGAGGGCCUAUGGGCCAUAACAACCAGUUGACCAAUCAACACAGGGCAAGCCCUCCAAGCCUGGAGGCACACCAAUCCUGAGCCUUUGCGUACCCCUAGACACUCCCCUUACGCUGCCCUACAAGAUCUCUCUGCAGCCGGUUUGAGCUGUCUUUGCUAGCCAUCCGCCUUGGUGGGUGGGUGAAAGACCCGAGCUAACAUGGGGUUAGCUCGUUAAACAACAAUAAAGCCUCAUGCAGUUUGCAGCAAGUUUUUGAAUCUGCCUGGUGAUUGGGGUGACUGAGGUCCUGGGCUGGGACCCUGGAGGCCUGAGUUUUCCUGGGGUCUAACAUUAUGAAUACCCAGCCUUAGCUUGACUUAUUUAUAGCUACCUUUGCUUGAUUUUAAAUUAUCCCAUUUAUCUUUUACCUCUGGGAUUUUAUCUUUCUCUAUCCUAUAUACCUUUCUUUACUUCUUACUCCAAGGCUUAUUGGGUGGCUGGCCCCUGAUGUCCAUUCUCCUUUUCUUGCUCCUUCACAAAUUUCUCCUUUUUCUGUCUGCCUGCCAGUCCCACCUAGCCUUUUCCUGCCCAGCUGUUGGCCAUUCAGCUCUUUAUUAGACCAAUCAGGUGCUUUAGACAGGCAAAGCUACACAGCUUCACAGAGUUAAACAAAUGCAACACAUCUUUUCAUAAUUAAACAUGUCCCACAAAUACAACAAAUCUUAAAAUAAUAUUCCAGGACACCUGCGGGUUUGAAUAGUAGAGAUUGGCUCAGUGAUGGCUGUUGAUUCUUCUGCCACACUUACCAAAGUCUCAGCCAAAACAUCAAGGGGGAGAUUUAAUAUGAAGAGGUUAGGGAAGCUGGGGGCGGGGGGAGUGGAGACAAAAGCGAUUAGCUGUCUCCGUUAGGCUAUGUAGGGAGAGAAGAAGAAUUUCAUGGGUGAAAUAAACUUCAGUCUUCAAGGUUGCAAAAACUAGAGGAAAAUUGAGCAGGAGGAAAAUUACAAGGACAAAAAGGUUGCGAUGUAUUGCACACCAUGUAUAUUAGCCCUGUGUUGGGGAGCCAUUUGUCACAGCCUGAUGUCUUUGGGGCUGCGAUUGGAACAGCCCCGGGUCCAUUUCUGAGUGGGGGAAUGUGGAUGAGGAAAGGCUAGCUAUCCAACUGCCAUUAUAGAAAAGAUAGAGACAUCUGAUCAUAACAGGAGGGCAGGGGCAGUCAAUGAAUGCACAGUUUGUUGUUGCAUCAUCUUAAGUAACCAUCCAAAGGUGGUGGCUAGGGCAGAAGACAUCUAUCUAUUAUGUAUAAAGGGCUGAUAACUGUUAUUUCCCUUAAUCCUAAAGACACUCCUUUGCACAUACUAAGGCCUUCAGGCACUUCACCCCAGCAGGUAUAACUAGCCUUCAGGGUGGGUGUAAACUCACCCUGGCCCAAGUCUAUUGUUAUUUAGAUAGGAGCCAUGCUCCCCCGAGGCCAGGACAUCCUGUAGCUAUUAGCCUACAUCUUAAAGACAAUUAGAAAUUGAGGCUCUCCUGAACUGGUGGUGGUGUGGAAUAGAUUUCCAAAUAUACGGGCUGAACAGAGAUGUAGUGAAGUAUAUAAAAACAGUUGCUUUCAGUGGGAUAAUGUUUUCCCUCUAUUCCUAAUGGUUCAUCCCAUUCAGAGAAAAUGUCAUUGUCUCCUUAUUGGCUGACUUGCUUUGUCUUGGGGCAGUAUUGUUAACUGUUUUAAGUUUGAAAACAUAGGCUGUUUUAGAACAUAUAAUCUCCCUAUACUCCCACCUCACUCUACUUGGAUAUGUGUUUAUGUAAAUGUACACAUCUGGGCAUGUGUGUAGAGGCUGGCAGUAGAGGUCUUCAAUCACUCACAACCUCAUAGUUUGAGAUAGAGUGUCUCACUAACCUGGGGUCUUCCUAUCUCUGCCUCCCCAGUACUUGGGCUGUAGUGAAAGACUUAAAAAUUAGCAAAGAAACUGACCAAGGCCAUUACUAUGACUUAGUGCCUAGAAUUUACCAGCUGCCAACAAUUACUCCCUUACAAGGCCGUAAGAUAACUAGGUACCAAGAAUUCCCAGGUGGCCACCCUCCCCCAAGGGGCUCAUAAAGGAAACAGAUUGCCCCACCGGCCAGUCAACAAUUAACAAUUAAGGGUCCCUAUGAAACAAAGAGAUAGCUACCAUUUGCUCAGGCAAGAUUAGUUAGCACGUCCUGAGGUCUUCGGGUUUUACAACUGGUGGGUCAAGAGGCCAUCUGAUUCCCAGCCCUCCCCUCAAGACAAAGGAAUCCAUGACUCUGGUCACAUACUCAAGGGACAGAGAGUCGUGGCCCCUCCCUAAGCUUAUGGUUUUUGCCUUUAAAAAUGCCUGUGCCUGGGGGACGAGGCUGCUCUCUAGCCUGCAUGCUGAGGAGGCCUGUUUGUACAAACGUUCACUUUUCAUUAAAGCCUCUUGUUGUUUGCAUCAAGUUUCUGCCUCUGCCUGGUGAUUGGGGUGGCUGAGGUCCUGGGAAAAGAUCCUGGGGGCCUGAGCUUCUGGGGGGUCGGUCUUUCAAUAGGAACAGAAUUCUGACUUUUGGGGAAUCCCAACUCAGGUCCAUAUGCUUGGACAGUGCAGCAGUCAUUUUACUGAAUGAACCAUCUUCUCUUGAGAUGGUUCUCAUGCUAUUUUCCCUAAACUGGCCUUAAUUCCUGGACUCAAACUUCAGCAUCCCAAGGAGCUAGUACUACAGGCACAUGUAGACAUAAUAAACCG
This 5674-nucleotide long non-coding RNA is filed under the name Cricetulus griseus (Chinese hamster). RNAcentral describes it as "lncRNA (ENSCGRG00000025184.1)". Lineage: Eukaryota; Metazoa; Chordata; Mammalia; Rodentia; Cricetidae. The record is from RNAcentral.